This 69-nucleotide transfer RNA is filed under the name Ictidomys tridecemlineatus (thirteen-lined ground squirrel). RNAcentral describes it as "Spermophilus tridecemlineatus (thirteen-lined ground squirrel) tRNA". It matches the Rfam family "tRNA". From Rfam's summary of the family: Transfer RNA (tRNA) molecules are approximately 80 nucleotides in length. Lineage: Eukaryota; Metazoa; Chordata; Mammalia; Rodentia; Sciuridae. The record is from Rfam by way of RNAcentral.
GGGGUUGUGGCUCAGUGGUAGAGCACUUGCCUAGCACAUGCAAGGCUCUGGGUUCUAUCCUCAGCACCA